GGGGGAGAGCUUUGUGGUUCUACAUGCACCGGCGACGAGUACAAUCGCCACUUCAGAGGACAACUCCCCUCUAUGAUCCAAGAGUCCCUUUGAAAACCAUGACCAAGGCAUAUCACGAGAGAGCUACUAGAUUUAACUUGAGCUACUAGCAACCUUUGAAAAUCAAUGAUGAAACCUUUGAAAACUUGGCUAAGAGAAUCAUUAGUGAAAUCAAGAGAGCUACUAGCAACAAUAUCAUUAGAUUUAGCUUUAGCAUUGUUGUUACUAGAUGAAGAAACUUUCUUGCCUUUGUUACUAGUGUUCUUAGGUUUAAUUCGAGGAACAAAAGUAGACAAGAGUAGUCGUUUGGCUAGAUAAGAAGAACUCUUCUUUCGAAGAUCAUCAUUGAUUGCUUUUAGGAAUUCAUGCUCUUGCUCCAAGUUGAGCUUCUCGAAGCAUAUCUUCUCAUGAGUUCUUGCAAGCUCUCUAUG
Molecule: long non-coding RNA, 470 nt
Filed under: Hordeum vulgare
Lineage: Eukaryota; Viridiplantae; Streptophyta; Magnoliopsida; Poales; Poaceae
Description: long non-coding RNA (HVUL_LNC011455)
Source: RNAcentral